GACGAACGCUGGCGGCGUGCUUAACACAUGCAAGUCGAACGAUGAAGCCGGAGCUUGCUCUGGUGGAUUAGUGGCGAACGGGUGAGUAACACGUGAGUAACCUGCCCUUGACUCUGGGAUAAGCGAUGGAAACGACGUCUAAUACCGGAUACGAGCUAGGACCGCAUGGUCACUAGCUGGAAAGAAUUUCGGUCAAGGAUGGACUCGCGGCCUAUCAGUUAGUUGGUGAGGUAACGACUCACCAAGACGACGACGGGUAGCCGGCCUGAGAGGGGGACCGGCCACACUGGGACUGAGACACGGCCCAGACUCCUACGGGAGGCAGCAGUGGGGAAUAUUGCACAAUGGGCGCAAGCCUGAUACAGCAACGCCGCGUGAGGGACGACGGCCUUCGGGUUGUAAACCUCUUUUAGCAGGGAAGAAGCGCAAGUGACGGUACCUGCAGAAAAAGCACCGGCUAACUACGUGCCAGCCGCCGCCGUAA
This 484-nucleotide ribosomal RNA is filed under the name uncultured bacterium. RNAcentral describes it as "partial 16S ribosomal RNA". It matches the Rfam family "Bacterial small subunit ribosomal RNA", at positions 28 to 523 of the family's 1533-position model. The record is from RNAcentral.